Molecule: ribosomal RNA, 406 nt
Filed under: uncultured bacterium
Lineage: Bacteria
Description: partial 16S ribosomal RNA
Rfam family: Bacterial small subunit ribosomal RNA
Source: RNAcentral
AUUGACCGCUGGCGGCAGUCCUAACACAUUCAAGUCUAACGAGCGGCGGACGGGUGAGUAAUGUAUGGGGAUCUGCCUGAUGGAGGGGGAGAACUACUGGAAACGGUAGCUAAUACCGCAUACCAUCAGAUGUACCCAGAUGGGAUUAGCUUGUGGGUGGGGUAAAGGUGCACCAAGGCGACGAUCGCUAGCUGGUCUGAGAUGAUGACCAGCAAAACUGGGACUGAGACACGGUCCAGAAUCCUACGGGAGGCAGCAGUGGGGAAUAUUGCACAAUGGGCGCAAGCCUGAUACAGCCAUGCCGCGUGUAUGAAGAAGGCCUUCGGGUUGUAAAGUACUUUCAGCGGGGAGGCGUUACCCGCAGAAGAAGCACCGGCUAACUCCGUGAAAGCAGCCGCGGUAAUUC